UUUAUCGGCUCGUGUUAAAGAUGG
RNAcentral lists this non-coding RNA (24 nucleotides) under Gossypium hirsutum (cotton). Lineage: Eukaryota; Viridiplantae; Streptophyta; Magnoliopsida; Malvales; Malvaceae. The record is from RNAcentral.